This 497-nucleotide ribosomal RNA is filed under the name uncultured bacterium. RNAcentral's name for it is "partial 16S ribosomal RNA". It matches the Rfam family "Bacterial small subunit ribosomal RNA", at positions 28 to 507 of the family's 1533-position model. The record is from RNAcentral.
GAUGAACGCUGGCGGCGCGCCUAAUACAUGCAAGUCGAGCGAACAGAUGAGGAGCUUGCUCCUCUGACGUUAGCGGCGGACGGGUGAGUAACACGUGGAUAACCUACCUAUAAGACUGGGAUAACUUCGGGAAACCGGAGCUAAUACCGGAUAAUCUAUUGAACCGCAUGGUUCAAUAGUGAAAGACGGUUUUGCUGUCACUUCUAGAUGGAUCCGCGCCGCAUUAGCUAGUUGGUAAGGUAACGGCUUACCAAGGCAACGAUGCGUAGCCGACCUGAGAGGGGGAUCGGCCACACUGGAGCUGGGACACGGUCCAGGCUCCUACGGGAGGCAGCAGUAGGGAAUCUGACGCAAUGGGCGAAAGCCUGACGGAGCAACGCCACGUGAGUGAUGAAGGUCUUCGGAUCGUAAAACUCUGUUAUUAGGGAAGAACAAAUGUGUAAGUAACUAUGCACGUCUUGACGGUACCUAAUCAGAAAGCCACGGCUAACUACGUG